Molecule: ribosomal RNA, 497 nt
Filed under: uncultured bacterium
Lineage: Bacteria
Description: partial 16S ribosomal RNA
Rfam family: Bacterial small subunit ribosomal RNA
Source: RNAcentral
GAUGAACGCUGGCGGCGUGCCUAAUACAUGCAAGUCGAGCGAACAGACGAGGAGCUUGCUCCUCUGACGUUAGCGGCGGACGGGUGAGUAACACGUGGAUAACCUACCUAUAAGACUGGGAUAACUUCGGGAAUCCGGAGCUAAUACCGGAUAAUAUAUUGAACCGCAUGGUUCACUAGUGAAAGACGGUUUUGCUGUCACUUAUAGAUGGAUCCGCGCCGCAUUAGCUAGUUGGUAAGGUAACGGCUUACCAAGGCAACGAUGCGUAGCCGACCUGAGAGGGUGAUCGGCCACACGGGAACUGAGACACGGUCCAGACUCCUACGGGAGGCAGCAGUAGGGAAUCUUCCGCGAUGGGCGAAAGCCUGACGGAACAACGCCGCGUGAGUGAUGAAGGUCUUCGGAUCGUAAAACUCUGUUAUUAGGGAAGAACAAAUGUGUAAGUAGCUAUGCACGUCUUGACGGUACCUAAACAGAAAGCCACGGCUAACUACGUG